GAUGAACGCUAGCGGCAAGCUUAAUACAUGCAAGUCGUGGGGCAGCAUGAAGUAGCAAUACUUUGAUGGCGACCGGCAAACGGGUGCGGAACACGUACACAACCUUCCGAUAAGUGGGGAAUAGCCCAGAGAAAUUUGGAUUAAUACCCCGUAACAUUGCGAUGUGGCAUCACAUUGCAAUUAUAGCUUCGGCGCUUAUUGAUGGGUGUGCGUAUGAUUAGAUAGUUGGCGGGGUAACGGCCCACCAAGUCUACGAUCAUUAGCUGAUGUGAGAGCAUGAUCAGCCACACGGGCACUGAGACACGGGCCCGACUCCUACGGGAGGCAGCAGUAAGGAAUAUUGGUCAAUGGACGAAAGUCUGAACCAGCUAUGCCGCGUGAAGGAUUAAGGUCCUCUGGAUUGUAAACUUCUUUUAUAUGGGACGAAAAAAGGUCUUUCUAGAUCACUUGACGGUACCAUAUGAAUAAGCACCGGCUAACUCCGUGCCAGCAGCCGCAGUAAAAC
This 505-nucleotide ribosomal RNA is filed under the name uncultured bacterium. RNAcentral describes it as "bacterial SSU rRNA". It matches the Rfam family "Bacterial small subunit ribosomal RNA", at positions 28 to 526 of the family's 1533-position model. The record is from RNAcentral.